CCUACGGGAGGCUGCAGUGGGGAAUAUUGCACAAUGGGGGAGACCCUGAUGCAGCGACGCCGCGUGAGUGAAGUAGUAUUUCGGUAUGUAAAGCUCUAUCAGCCGGGGAGAAAAUGACGGUACCUGAUUAAGAAGACCCUGCUAAAUACGUGCCAGCAGCCGCGGUAAUAGGUAGGGGGCAAGCGUUAUCCGGAUUUACUGGGUGUAAAGGGAGCGUAGACGGCAGCGUAAGUCUGAAGUGAAAUGCCGGGGCUUAACCCCGGAACUGCUUUGGAAACUGUGCAGCUAGAGUGCAGGAGAGGUAAGUGGAAUGCGUAGUGUAGCGGUGAAAUGCGUAGAUAUUAGGAGGAACACCAGUUGCGAAGGCGGCUUACUGGACUGUAACUGACGUUGAGGCUCGAAAGUGUGGGUAUCAAACAGGAUUAGAUACCCGAGUAGUC
This 440-nucleotide ribosomal RNA is filed under the name uncultured bacterium. RNAcentral's name for it is "partial 16S ribosomal RNA". It matches the Rfam family "Bacterial small subunit ribosomal RNA", at positions 338 to 795 of the family's 1533-position model. The record is from RNAcentral.